GUCUCCGAAGGGCUGACAUGGACUCCCACGUCCUCCUGGCGAUCCUACUGUUCUGCUCCGCAGGAGCAGCCUCUUCACCUGAGGUCACCUUGAAGUCGGUUCAUGUGGGGGAUGCCGUCACACUGCCCGUGACCCUUCCCAAGGGCCAGAGGCUCACCAACCUCCUCCUGAGGGACUCCUUGAGAAAACAAGCCAUCGCCAUCUGGAUGGAGUCCAAAAUGAUCACGAUUCUAGACAUUGACUACGCCAACCGGGUGGCCUUCCAGGAAGACCAGAUGGCCUUCAGAAUUGCCAACCUCAGCUUGGGCGACGGGACCACCUACGAAAUCUCCACCAGCUUCAGCACUUCCACACCAAAACUGCUCAGCAGCUUUCUGGUGGCUGUAUUCAGUAAGGAAUCUCCUUGCGUGGCAGAUAAGUAGCAGUCGCAUGUAGACGGUCCCUCCACUCAGGCUGCCCUGAGGGAGAGGAGGAAGCGGAGAGGUAUUGGAAAGUUGGAGAAGGCAGGACUUGGCGUAAGGGACAAACUUAAGUGAUCUCCAGGAAAUCAAGUCCCUUUGACUUCCACAUUUCUCCUUGUUUGCCCAUUUCUUGACUGUUAACGCAUGAAACGUUGAUAGGAGGCCGGGGGGCGGAGCGGGUGUCACACUGCUUUCGGCUGAGCUAGGGGAUGUUCUUAAAAGACAAGCCUUGGUUGGUCUGAUUUUCAGAUCUCUUGGCUGGACUGAGUGACCUCUCUGGCCGAAUCCUCGCCCCGUUAGGUUAGUGCUUUGAGCAGCAGUUUCGCUGCUCAAUUUUUUUCUUCCGUGGAACUUUCAGUUCCUCAGUCACAUAUUGUGAGUUUGUGCAAGACAGGCAGAAGUUGUGGUGUAGCCUGUUCCAAAAGCUGAUUCAUUUUGCUGCACAGCUAGAAAACUAUUCUGCGUUCGAGGGAAGGAAGAUUCUGCUUCCCUGGAAAGGUCCAGGGGGUUAGGCUGGAUGGCCUCAAGGGUCCCUUCCUGCUUCAGAAUCCUAGGUCUUCUCUCCUGCUCCUUCUGAAUUGCACCCCUCCUGUCUUUCCUGCCAGACAUCACCGAAAGGGUCUCCUCCUUGGGGAAUGAUUCCUGCCACAUUUAUCUGGACUGUCAGGCAGGGAUGGGGCGCGGUCAGAGAGUGACCUACACCUGGAAGGACACCGAGGCCGGCACCACCCUGAGCCAGGUGGCCUGGCUCACUCAGCUGGUGCACCGCAACCAGAGGAAGGCCUACACCUGCAUGGCCCAGACCUCUACCGCCCAGAGCUCCUUCAGCCUCGUCCUCCAGCACUCCUGUAUUCCCAACACUGCAAGUCCAGGUAAAAGGCAGAACCUGCCCAAGACGCCUCCCCCCCCCCCCCCCCGUGGCUGAGCCAAGCCACUUGCAGCUGGCAAAGACUUUUCCGCA
RNAcentral lists this long non-coding RNA (1422 nucleotides) under Notechis scutatus (mainland tiger snake). Its description in RNAcentral is "lncRNA (ENSNSUG00000008704.1)". Lineage: Eukaryota; Metazoa; Chordata; Lepidosauria; Squamata; Elapidae. The record is from RNAcentral.